RNAcentral lists this ribosomal RNA (253 nucleotides) under uncultured bacterium. Its description in RNAcentral is "partial 16S ribosomal RNA". It matches the Rfam family "Bacterial small subunit ribosomal RNA", at positions 524 to 776 of the family's 1533-position model. The record is from RNAcentral.
GACAGAGGUGCCAAGCGUUAGGCGGAAUCACUGGGCUUAAAGCGUGUGUAGGUGGAUUUGUAAGUACCUUGUGAAAGCCCAUGGCUCAACCAUGGAACUGCUCGGUAUACUGCGAAUCUUGAGCCACUUAGGGGCUACCGGAACAAAUGGUGGAGCGGUGAAAUGCGUAGAUAUUGGGAGGAACACCAGUGGCGAAGGCGGCUCACUGGACCGGAACUGACGCUGAGGCGCGAAAGCGUGGGGAGCAAACGGG